This is a long non-coding RNA of Scaptodrosophila lebanonensis, 538 nucleotides long. RefSeq lists it as uncharacterized. The record is from RefSeq and is a predicted model, not a curated record. Lineage: Eukaryota; Metazoa; Arthropoda; Insecta; Diptera; Drosophilidae. The transcript is spliced from 3 exons.
GCAUCUUUUACUGUCAGUUUGUUCAACUUGCGGGCAUCGAGGCAAAAGCGGUUCUUGCCCGGCCGUCGCACUAUGGUGGUGCGGUUACUCCACGGACUAUCGCCUACCUCGAUGACGCCAAGCGCCAGCAUGCUGUCCACCUCAUCCCACACAAUCUUCUGCAUAGCGGGUGAUAGAGGGUAGUGCCUGUCUUUCACUGGCUCUGCUCCGCUGACCAAUUCAAUACGCUUUUGUUGUUCAUUCAAUUCCCACAUAUCUGGUUCCGGCCUUACUUCAUCCUGGUCCGCAUAAUGCGCCACUCUAUCAGCUAGCAAUUCAUCGAAGACAAGUCUUUUAACGGCUGGCUUUUCCGGAGGAAUUAAUAGUGGUGCCAAAUUAAACAGCCGCCAAAAGUCGAUGCCGAAAUACGCGUUCUGUUCAAGUGAUGGGCAUACGUAAAAUUCCACUUCUUUGGUCUCCUCUCGAUACACCACUGUUCGAGACCGCGUUUGCCUAGCACGCUUACCGAGGCCCCGGUAUCCAGCAAACCGCGUAGCAC